GGUAACACAACGUUUCUCACAAUGUCAAAUUUUCAUUGUUUUGUUGGGCUUCGUUAGUUUUUGUUACAUUCAUAUGUGAUUCAUUUAGCAUUUGAAACAUGAUCCGUGAUUACAAUAAUAACGAAACACGCCUAUGUCGCAGAUGGUCGUAGAAUGUGGUAAUCUCGUCGCAACCGUUAUGCCUUCUACGACAAAACACAUAACUAACAUGCCUUAGCGCCACCAAACGCACAUGCGGGAAAUCAACCAGACAAAAUAAAAGACAACAAAGAACCCGAAAACAAAGGAGACGAAAAAGCCGGGAACACAAAGAAAAUCAUACAUUUCUUCUUCGAUUCUUCUAGAAACCACAGCCAUAGCUGCUAGAAGUCAUAGUCUGUUUUUAUCUACUGUAUACCGAACAAAGCUAAAUAAACAUAAUACAAUUGUUAUUCGAUGUGCAAAGCUUCUUUCUAUAUAGUGGACUGUCAACAAUAAACUCACAGAUUAGUGACGAUAACGUUGGGACUGUUACGCUUCCUCCGGCAAGACACAUAACUAACACGUCUCGGCGCCACUAAACAUACACGUGGAAAACAACCAAAGUGAAAGACGACAAAGACGCCGGGAACAGAAAAGAAAUCAUUCAUUUUCUCUUUGAUUAUUCUUGAGACCAUAGAUUGUUGAGAGUAAUAGUCUAGUUAAAUUACUGUGUACCUGACAAAGUUAAAUAAAUAUAUUACAAUUA
Molecule: long non-coding RNA, 727 nt
Organism: Vespa mandarinia (Asian giant hornet)
Lineage: Eukaryota; Metazoa; Arthropoda; Insecta; Hymenoptera; Vespidae
Source: RefSeq, a predicted model, not a curated record